Molecule: long non-coding RNA, 328 nt
Organism: Felis catus (domestic cat)
Lineage: Eukaryota; Metazoa; Chordata; Mammalia; Carnivora; Felidae
Exons: 3
Source: RefSeq, a predicted model, not a curated record
CCUGAGUCCAAACCAAGAGUCAGAUGCCACUCAGGCACCCUGAUAACAUCUUGAGCCCUUCAGUCCCAGUAGAGCUGGUCAGAUGACUACAGAUGCAUAAAGAAACGAAAAGGAAGGUGUUUCAACAAUCUGUGGAGAAUCUUGUGUGAAGCUACAAGGAUUAAAGUCUGUCAUACAGCCAGAAAUGGAAGGAUCUUCCUGAACUUUUUUCAACACAAUCUCAGCCAUGAGUAUUGAAGGAAUAUUGCUUUCUAAAACCAAAAUAUAAGAACCCAUUACACCUGUUAAAUAUCCCUAGUUUUUUUCCGUAAUAAAACUUCUGCUAUAA